AAUAACUGGCUAGCAUCUCCCCAGGCAAUGGGGAGUAUUGUCAACAUCCUGAGCUGACAGCAGGUUACCCCAUUCACAGUUAACACACUAGCUGCAGACUAUUUGACACCCGGAAGGGUGACCCUUGGUUGAGUUGGAGGCCAGCUGGACACAGGACUCUGCAUGAGUGUGUGGGAUGGGGAGGCAGUGCAGGACCAGGAGUAAUAUAUGUCAAAUGUAUAAACAGUCCCUGUGUGCCCUGGUAGGUGGGCAUGGCACUGUUUGGCCUAUAAUGUCAGGGGUCUUAGAGACGAAAUGGCUGGCUGAUAGUAUCUUGUCUGGUGACGGAACCUGACCCUCACCCCUUCUCUGGUGGGACGGGAACAGAGUAGGCUUGCAAGGGGUCUAAGAGGGACCUUCACAGGGCAGAGGAGCUGAGGGUGUCUGUUUUAAUCCACCACACAGUAGGACUGCACCUACACCAGUGCUUCUCAACCUUCCUGAUGCUUCAACCCUUUAAUACAGUUUCUCACGUUGUGGUGACCCCAACCACAAAAUUUCGCUGUUACUUUGUAACUUUAAUUUUGCUACUGUUAUAAGCCAUAAUGUAAACAACUGGUAUCUGAUAUGUGACCCCUGUGAAAAGGUCAUUGGACAACCCCCACCCCCAACCCCAAACGAACCCGUCCGGAACCGAGUCCGUCCUACAGAACCCGAAACGCAGUGCAGUGCAGGAGCUGUGAGCCCUGGGCUGCUCUUACAGGGCAGGUUCUGACAGAGCUUUACUGGAAACUACCCAGCCUGUCAACAGGGGCCAGUUAAUCAAACUGACGCAGAACGGAGUCGGAAAACCUCUCUGAUAUCUGCUACCACGAGAAGAAAGCGACCUGCGGAAACGACCUUAUCACACAACUUUUGUAACCCAAAAGUACAUUUAUGACUCAGGAGCCUGCAGACAAACAUGUCCAUACAAUAGUCGAGGAAGACAGCAGCUGCCCGUCAUGGUCGCCACUCGGGAAGCCAAGGGGCACGCUCAAAAUGUUAGCUUCAUCCGCAUUUAAGAUUUUUAAAAGUGGAAACCCAGGAAUAGAUUAUUCAUAUAUUACAAAGUACAGUUUAUAAACACAAGGGUUAAGAUGACACCCAGCACAGUCUUGUGACUGUUUUUUUUUAAAUACCUGCUUAAGCCUCUGUGACAAAUGUCACAUUACUGUCCCCUAUCAUCUGUUGACAUGACUGAGGCACAGACAGUCAUGGGGGCACAGACUUGCCCCCAUCGCAUAGCCAAGAGGACAGCUGUCCCCAGAUGCCGAGAGAUGCAAGGUGGGGUGUGUGUGUGCUGUAAGGGUGAGGUAAGAUGAGAUGCAUACACAGCACUUUGCUUAGAAAAACCCGGGCUUCCUAGUUGAAGGGUACCCAGGACUGGUCCCAUCGGGUGCCCUGCUCCCCCUUGUACAACUGGAGGUUUGACUUUGGCCUUUGGGAUGUCUCCGCCCACUUCGCCUUCUGUGGGUUAGUGACACAAAGAGACCCUUUCUCUGUGCUGCAGUCAGACAAAACAAGGGCACUCAGCGCAGCUGUGACCCGAUCAUUGCCCCGUCAACGAUGCACGAGGAAGGGACAACAGGAAGUGUCUGAUGAGGCCCUGGACCCUCCGUGGCACGUUCCCCAUUCCCACCAGCCUGGGCUUUACAGACACCAAGACUAUGCAGAACUUCUCUCCUAGAACCCUCAGAUCUGAUCCUGAGAGCUUCUUCCGUCCUUCAGGGUAGGGACACCCAUCAUGGAGGCCAAGGCUUCUGGGGGUUCUGGUCAGGCCUUGAGAGGCUGCCCCUCCUACAUCUGUCUCUCCCACACUCAGCCUUGAGUUUGCAGCUUGACCCCUACCCCUUGCUGGAUGCCAGGUCUGAAUGCUAGCAGAAGAGGGUGAGUCAGCUCAAAGGUGUUGGCUCCGAGUGGCUCUCACAUGCUCUCCCCACCAGUGCUCUCUCCUUGGGUGCUUUCUUGAGAGGUAAACUCAUGGGCCAGGCUGUAGGGCUGGGCAGAAACUGUGCAGGGUGGGGCCAAAAGCCUGUCUCCCACUAGCAAAACCCGAGGCUUCAGGGAUCCACUCUGCUUUAACCUGGUCGGACCUUCUUUGGGAUGAGGUCGGGCGACUCGCUGUCAUGAAGCUAUCCUCUCUCGGAAGGGCUGAAACCAAGGCUGCAGCAGCCGCAUCGCCCAGUGGGAAGUGGCUAGCAGGUGGGUUGUUUGUUUGUUUGUUUGUUUGGAGAGUAAGGGUCAAAGAUAAGGUGAUGGAAGACGGGGGUUGAGCUCUCAAGACCGUUGACUACCAACACGUGGACUCUACCCUCGGCAGCCCCUCAGCGUGGCCUUGCAGUCCUUUCCCCUCGGAAUCUCGCCUGCCCUCCGUGACGGCAAUUCUUCCAAACCGCCUCCUCCUUCCCCAGAUCUCCCAGGCUGCCUCACUCUCUGCUUUGUUCCAGAAGGAUCUGAGAUAACCAGGGAGGAUCCUGCCGCUCCUGGACCACCAUCUGCAAACCUCACGUAGCACUACCAGGCGUCCUGUCCUUCAACCCUUUCCCAGGCCAAUGCCCAAGUCUGGGCUUUGGGUUCCAGGCCCUCAAAAGCCCAGUGGCAGCUUACUUAAUGUUCCUAGGGUCACCUGGUCUCCCACGUUAACCUCCUUGACUACUCCCCAUUCUUCAUUCAGCAUCUUCCCUGGUUCUAGCUCCAGCCAGGAGCUGCCUCUCUGAAGCUCUCCUGAGAGAGUUUACUCAGUGUCUCUUCAUCUCUUCAACUGGCCUAACAACCUGGCCUCAGCCCCAUGUAACGAGAGCUGGCUUUGUCACAUCAGGGUGACCCUGUUGAGUCCAGUUGUCACUUGGUCCUUGCGUUAACUGAGCUUGAUGUCUGGUCCCAUUGUUUCCUCAGUUCCACAAUGACACACUUUUGGGGUUCCUCCUCCCUUCCUGGCCACUCCUUCUCAGUCUCCUUUAAGGCACCUCUAAAAGACCUGGGUUCUUCAAGGCAGACUCUUCCCCCGCCCCCCUCGCUUGCCCAAACGGAUGAGGCCAUACUUUAGAUCUCCAUUUUUUUCCCCUCUCAGCACUAGACUGGAACAUCUACUUGGCUGCCCAGGGAACAGAACAGCUGUUCAGAAAUGUAUCGGAUGUGGUGGGGCAGAGCUGAGCUCUGCACUCCCUCUGCCCCCGCCCCUCCCCCACAGCCCCCCACUGCGGAGGAUGCCAUCCAGCCAUUCAGCCUCACAGCCAGAGGCCUCAGCAUCAGCAUCUUGGCACUCGCUCUCCCUCCACACCCAAUUAAUCACCUCUGUCUGCACAGCCUCCCACUCAGACUUCACUCUCCCCUCCGUCCUCGCCAUCUCCCUUUGAAGUUGGGCCACCUCUUUUUUUCUCUCUGGCUGGGACUAUAGCCCUCCUGCAGCCCAGCCUUCCCCCCCUCCACAAUACACGUUUCCCCCAGUGACUUGGCGAUGCCCUCGGUACAGUCCACCCACUGCUGGCUCCUCACCUCUACGGUCACCAUACCUCAUCCACCCUCCUGCUUCUCAUCCCAACCUGUUCUGCACCCUCGAAACAUGCCCAUCACUCCACUGGCAAGACCGAGACUCCCUCUGACAUGGCUUCCUCUGGAGCACAGGCGACUCAGCUCACGUGGCCCCUGCUCGCCUUGUAGCACCUAGAGGCCAGCUUGCGGCUUACUUCUUUUUUCCUGCCAUCUAACCUGGAGCCUGGCAUCAGGAAGUGCUCUUCAAAUAUUUCUGCAUGAAAUGAAAAGGCCAAACCAAAACAGUAACAAAGCAGGAAUGCGAAGCUUGCGGGCCCCUGAGGUUCCACUGCCAUCGGAUGCCAGGUGCCAGAGCUGUGGCUGCCCUGCACAUGGAGGACAACGGAUCCCUCCUGACCCUAGAGGAAGUACUCAGGCACCUGCUCCAUAGGGUCUCGGUUGGGUCACGGCUCAGUCACUGCAACAACUAUGACAGUAACAGAACCCCUGGCUGUGUGUCUCCUGUCACUCUGGACAGCCCAGAAGCUUCCAGGGACCAAGGGCCUCCUGUUCUUUUCUCUCUGCUCUCUUAGUUCCUCAACCCUUAAGAUGGGCAUCAGAAGGAAGGCCAGAGACACUCAGGAUUCCAAAGACUAUGAUACAGCUUUGGAGCCCGUGCCAGAAGUCCUGUCCCAGGCCUGCCCACAAGUUUGUGGCCAUGGACAGGGAUGCAACAGCCAGUCCCAGCCCCCUGUACUGCAGAACAGUAAGACCGCCUGCCAGCUCCGGGAGGCCUGGUGGGAAGUGCAGCUGCAGCACAGGCUUGGCACCGUGCUGGACUCGCCGAGCCACCCCAGCCCUGACCUCACGCUUCUCCUCCUCUGCCUGCUGCUCUCCGGUCUACCACAGACACCAUGCUCAGUGGGAGCAAUCAGACAGUUAGGAGAGAACCCAGUGGAGAGGGACCUUGAGGAAGCCAGGGUUGUUGGGGCCCAAAGAGAGGGGUUCUUGUGUGAGCAAGAACAGUUGGUUUCCUGUCGAGGCCUCAGCCCCAGGGGCCUGAGACAGUCUGCUCAGUGUCAGGACAGGGACUGAGACUCAGGCAAAAGACCAGGUACUAAACCCCAUUGGCCUUUCCCAGCUGACUUGCCCUAGCGCCUGGGGCUCCAGCAGGCAGGUGACAGUAGGCCAGCAUGUGGCUGUCAGGCAGUUCCUGCUUUCUACCCUGGCUCUGACGCUGGGGGGGGGGGGGGCUUCUCUCUGCCUCAGUUUCCUCAUCUGUGCAAUGGAGAUAUCAUGGCAGCACCUGCUUGGCAGGGUUGUUAACACUAUACAUGAAACACUUGGCAUGGCGCCCCACGCAUUAAAAAGAGCUGUUUUCUUCUCACUGUUGUGAAUGCUGUCCCAACAGGAAGAGACAACAAAGGAGCCCUCAGGGAGCAUUUGAUACACAUGAGGUAAGGAGGCGAGACUCAGAGGCAGGAUUGGGGAGACUAAAGGGGUGUGGAGAGCAGGGUAGACCCUCAGGUCUGCAGGGAGAGGUGGCAGAUUGGUGGAAGAACUUUGUGGCUAUCCCAGGAGAGCACAGGCCACACCCAUUUCCCACCUCUCCCCACCUGCUCAUCACAGCUUUCUCUUUGAAUGUCACCAUUCCAAGGCCAGAUGCUCCCUCCCUCCCCAUCCCUACCUCUCUGGCACAGUACAAUGGACUCUGCCCACCUCCCUGAGCUGUCCCUGCCAUCAGGAACUCGGGACAUGGAAUCCCACAGACUGUCACAGAAGAGGGGCCAAGACACCAUUUCCAAGGUCUCAGGGGGACCUACGUCUACCAGACGGUGCUGACGUGAUAGGAACCAUGCCAACCUGUUGUGUGGGCUGGCCGAGGUGGCCAUCCCUGGGGCCUCAUUAGAUGUACGCACAGCACCUCCCAAUUCCCAGGACUCAGUCACCCCUCCUGGGCUGCUGUCUGUCCCUCUGUCCUGGGCCCUAGGAAAGACUCUGUUCAGAUGUCUUCACUCCUGGAAUCCUGGGAAGUUUCCUCACUGCUAAGUCUCUGGCCCACUUGUGCUAACAAUGAGCCUGCUCUGGGCUCUGGAGGCUCACGGGGGUUUGUUCCUAUUGAAGAACAGGCUGGGCCAGUCAGUGUGCCGGCUCCUCUGCCAUGCUGUCCUGGUGCUUAGUCCCGAGGGCCCUGCUGCUCUCUGACAUGUCCUCCUGUCCGUCUGUCAGGCUAGCCCCUUGCAUCGAUGCUCCUGAUCCUGUCCACCCUGUGAAGUCUUCAUCGUCCAUCCCUGCGCAAGCUCCUUUACAUACACACCAUCCACCACCUUCUCCUACAUGCAGAGGCCUCCUGCCCAGUAGCCCCAGUGCAGGGCUGGCUCAUACUGGACGCUAAUGGGGAUCACAAAGAGAAGCGUUUUCUGAGUCUAGGAUGGUUCUGGCCUGGGAAUACCCAAAAUUAUUCCUUAGUUACUAGGGAGGAGGGUCCGAGUCACUUACAGCCUCAAGAUUUUUCUUGCAAAUUGCCUUCCAUGUUCCUUAAACAGUACAGGACUACUGUCAGCCAAGUGGCUGGAGGGCAGGAGGGACUGCCAGGCAGAGGGAUUAAAAGUGCAAGUCUUAACUUGAACCCAACUCUGCCACAGACUAGCUGUGUGAUCUUGGGCAAAUUACCCAACCUCUCUGAGUCUUAAGGUCUUCUGAGGUAAUCAUACCUACUAGAUUUAAGGAUCAAAUGCAAUACUGUACACGGAGCACACAAAACAAUGCCCAGCCCUUAAUUAGGUGCUCGUUAAGAGGUGGCUCUUAUGAUUAAUAAUUUCAUAAGUAUUAAUAACAAUGUUAAUAGGAGAGGCAACAUUAUCAUUAGAGAAGGUCAAAGUAUUCCAGCCCCUUCCCUCCUAGGGUCAAGGUACCAGUUCUCUUCAUCUCAGGGUCCUAGCCCCAACCCUCGCCAACCUGUGUAGGGACUCCCACCUCCCCCACCCUACCCCCAGCUGUCACAUCUGAACAAUCCAAGAGUCGCUCCUGGCCAUGUUAGGGGGUCUUUGAGGCCCUCCUCCCUCGGAUGUGGGAAUAUCAUGGCUUGGAUCUUUCAACAAAGCACAGUGGGCAUCUCUAGGAAGGAACCUGGGGUGGGGAAUACUUACUAGGAUGCCCAGUACCAGCCUGGGUUGGCCUGGACAUAGUCCUUAACGACGUCACUGUAGAAAAAGAUGGGCAGAGUCAGAGGCUACCCCAGGUCUGUUUCUGCUCAAUGUCUGUACCUUCCCCACAUGGACUCAGAGGAAGGAGGUGGGACUGGGCUCUAGAUGGGCAGGCUGGGACCUAGGGGAGCCUGGGUGGGUGACUGGAACAAAAUGAAGCAUCACAGACACCCGCAGGACCCACCUCACACUGUCUGGGGAACUUCUCACGUGCUGCACACCCAACCUUCCCCAGCACGAGGAUAUCCACAGCCCCUCAUCUCUCCAAAUGGAUAGCCCAGGGGAGGUUUGAUGGAGUCCCCCUGCUCCAGGCCUAACACAUGGCCCUCCCAGAAGGCAUCUGUUUGCACUGCUAACUCACCAGAAGGUAAAGAGAGCCACCACAGCCAAGGUCACCAGCAGCUGAACCAACAGGAUGGUAUAGACCUAAGGGAGGCAAUGACCCGUUUAGGGAGCCCUGAGCCCCAGCAAAUCUCUGAGAGACCCCAGCUCCCAGGGAUUCAUUUGAAUCCAGACCUCCCUACUGGAUGUUUCCGCCCUUCUUCACAGGGUCGCUGGGCAGAUUCAGACAAGUGGAGGGACAGGAAGGGUGCCAGACCCCAGAGGACAAAGAGCAGGGGCCUCGGGUGAGACCUCAGAAACACAUGCCAGGAGGAGCCAUGAGCUGGGAUGGCGGGAGAGAGGGAAAACCCUCUGCGGGCAGAGGCGGGACCAAGGUCAUUUUAGGGGUUCCCGCAUAGGGUCCCAAACCCCUCGUUGCCCUCUCUCCAGCCCAGAGCCUGGGAGAAGUGGUCACCUUU
This is a non-coding RNA of Rattus norvegicus (Norway rat), 7495 nucleotides long. The record is from RefSeq and is a predicted model, not a curated record. Lineage: Eukaryota; Metazoa; Chordata; Mammalia; Rodentia; Muridae.